This 220-nucleotide ribosomal RNA is filed under the name Vibrio cholerae O1. RNAcentral's name for it is "partial 23S ribosomal RNA". It matches the Rfam family "Bacterial large subunit ribosomal RNA", at positions 555 to 774 of the family's 2925-position model. Lineage: Bacteria; Pseudomonadati; Pseudomonadota; Gammaproteobacteria; Vibrionales; Vibrionaceae. The record is from RNAcentral.
ACCGUGUGCCUACAACCGCUCAGAGCCCCUUAUGAGGGUGAUGAGGUGCUUUUUGUAGAACGAGCCAACGAGUUACGGUAUGUAGCAAGGUUAAGUACUUAAGGUACGGAGCCGAAGGGAAACCGAGUCUGAAUAGGGCGACUAGUUGCAUGCCGUAGACCCGAAACCGGGUGACCUAUCCAUGGCCAGGUUGAAGCGAGGGUAAAACCUCGUGGAGGAC